GGGCUCACACAAGCGGUGGAGCAUGUGGCUUAAUUCGAGGCAACGCGAAGAACCUUAUCCUGGGUUUGACAUGUACGGAUGGCUCGCCUGAAAGGGAUGAGUCUGCCUUCGGGUGAAACGUACACAGGUGCUGCAUGGCUGUCGUCAGCUCGUGCCGUGAGAUGUUUGGUUAAGUCCAGCAACGAGCGCAACCCCUGUGAACUGUUGCCAGCGCGUAAAGCGGGGACUCUGUUCAGACUGCCCAGAUCAACUGGGAGGAAGGUGGGGACGACGUCAGGUCAGUAUGGCCCUUACGCCUAGGGCUGCACACGUACUACAAUGCCCAGCACAAUGAGAACCGAGACCGCAAGGUGGAGGA
This 358-nucleotide ribosomal RNA is filed under the name uncultured bacterium. RNAcentral's name for it is "bacterial SSU rRNA". It matches the Rfam family "Bacterial small subunit ribosomal RNA", at positions 917 to 1269 of the family's 1533-position model. The record is from RNAcentral.